CUGGGAUAAUUGGGCUGUCGCUGCCAUAAGGGAGCUGUGUAAGCCGGGAGAGACGGAAAGGACGCGUGGCUGGCUGCCAGGAGGGCUGUCGUCCCCGCAGGAGGACUGGCAGUCAUGUCGCACUGACCCGCACCACGCAGCUAUUUCUGUUGGGCAGAAGCAUGCUCUCCAGGAAACAGACACUAUUUUCCCUUGCGAUCUCAGAUUGAUGGGAGCUCAGGUUCUUCCUGGGCGAUAUCAACUUUAUGAGCUAUUUACACAACCUCCUGGCUGUCUUAGCUGGAAAAUAGACAGAAGAGAGAAAAUCAAAUAUUUAAGUAGCAAAAAAGUCUCCAGCCCACAGUAAAGCUGCUUUUCUCACCGCAGAGCCACGCUGGCUCUGCCCCGUGCGCUACGAAGGGUGACCAGGCACCAGCAAGUGCAGCGUGGACCCAUUCCAGAUCUCAGCAUGACAAAUGAUGCCCUCAACGUGGGGGCCAGAAGACAAUGGUGAACUUGUGACACACUGGAUCCUAACCAACUUUGAUAGGACAAUAGAAAAAUUCAUAAAUAGAAAACGCAGAAUUGCUGGAAAAAGCAAUUUGUGAGAAAAUGUCAGAGGAUUCUGAGUGAUUUGACCCAAAAGAGAGAGGAAAUCUGCAUCGAGAGAAGCUUAAGAAAGACCUGGCUGAAGAAGAUUGCCCCGGUCUUUUGAUACAGCUCCAGCCUCAGCUGAGGCUGGAAAAGCCAAAGCCUGUUGCCUUUUGUGAUGUUCAGAAGCAAGCAAACUACU
Molecule: long non-coding RNA, 772 nt
Organism: Cygnus olor (mute swan)
Lineage: Eukaryota; Metazoa; Chordata; Aves; Anseriformes; Anatidae
Exons: 2
Source: RefSeq, a predicted model, not a curated record